UUUGAAAACCACGCACACAGCAAGCAGAACCCCCUCUCUCUCGUGUCUUCACCGGCGACCAGAGAUCGGAGCUCCGGCGCCACGUUUUUCUCCGGCGAAUCACUCACCCAUACACCCACACCCUUUUCUCACUCUCUCACGCCGCUCCGACGACCGGUGAUCGAGGUUCCGGCCAGCUCCGCCAUCAUUUUCGACAACCGCAACCACUCUCCGACACCCUCCUUGCUUCUCUGAUGAUGACGGCUGAAGAUGAUGUUUCGUUAUGAACAUGAUCGAAGAUGAUGAUGUUGACGCUGGUUAUCGUUGACGGCGACGGUGGUGCCUCGGAACUCCGGAAGACGUGAUAUAUACGGUCGCCGAUGACUGGGUGGAGUCCGGUGACGGCGGAGAGUCGCCGUCGACAGUGGCGACAGGGCAGUGGUGGUGGCUGUGGUAACAGGCCACUCCAUCUCAGAUACGUUCGGUUCAGUCAAGUCCGGCUUAGAUAGAGGAGACAAGAUGACAGCUAAAGACUGAAGAGGUGGAUAACUCACGCUAGGUAAUAUAAAGAUCUUCUUUGCGUAACACUAAAGAACCUUGAACGGCGAUUGUGACGACGGUGGAGAAUCUGGUCUGGAUUUUGCCAGAAUCAACGCCGAUGUUUGAACGCCAAAUCGCGAAACAGGAAAGGAAACGUAGUUGUCAAAUUCAGGUCACCAUGUGAAAUAGUUGCCAGGCAGAUUAAAUUUCAAGUCCUUGCUAUCAUGUUGUGCCAUUUAGCCUUGGUUAACAAUCAGCGAUGUGGCUUAGAAUAGAAGUUAAAGAGAAUGGAUAAGUUGUAAAUGCUUACUUGAUGAGCAAGGCAUGAAUGAGUUGUGCAGGUUCGUGUGUGAACUGUGAAGACCAGAAUCAAGUCGCGUGCCUCAAAGAGGUCGCGUGAAAAAUGAUGACACAAGGAAUUGCUAUUUGGAUGGCUACAACCUAGGAACAUUAUGCAGCCGAAAGCCUGACAUAAGCCGUAACGCCUAUGCCAGAAAUCUACUAACAGCGAAAUAUCUUUUUAUGGUCGUAACUUGCAGCUGGUGUAAGUAAGAUAAGUUGCUUAUGGAUUGAUACAACGAUAUUUUGUAUACACCAGGUAGAUAGGGUAGACGAUGAGAAUGAAAUACACAAACUUAAUGUAAGAAGCAUCGGAUUUUUAUCCACUGUGAUAUAUAUAUAACCAAUCCCCCGCCGCAUCGCGGCGGGUCAUAAAUCUAGUUUAAAUAAAACAAGUGGUUGG
RNAcentral lists this long non-coding RNA (1261 nucleotides) under Helianthus annuus (common sunflower). Its description in RNAcentral is "hypothetical non coding rna". Lineage: Eukaryota; Viridiplantae; Streptophyta; Magnoliopsida; Asterales; Asteraceae. The record is from RNAcentral.